UUAUUGAAUAAUUUUAAAAAGUGCCAAAAGAAUAAAAUGACAACCUAGAAUUCUAUAUGCAGAGAUUUUCAGACUGAAAACAAAAUAAAGUCACUUUCAGCAAAAAUAAAAUAAAAUGGUAAAGAAGACUUUAUCCAAGGGGGACAGCUCUAAUGGGGUUUCGCGGAGGGGAGAAAGCAGCCUUAACUCUGAACACGAUGGGGAAAAGUGGGGAUUUAUAGUCAAGGAUCAGGGUUAGGAGUUGGUGGAUGGAAAAUCACGUGUAAUAGGUAAUUUCAUUCCUGGUCCCCAACACUCUUCAGAUUCAACCAACACUCAGAACAUCUGAAGAGUCCAAGUUGCUGCUGAGUGCUUCCAUAUGUCAGUUUCAUCCGUACAAGUUUCCUGUGAUGCUGGGAGCUAACCCACCGCGUCUAUCAAGUAUCACUGCAAUGGCACUCGCAUUUAUUGAAUGCUUUCUGAGAUCAAACACCAUGUAAAGUUCUUUAGCUGGAUACUUUGAGCAAUUCCCACAACGCACCUUGGAUGACAGAUGGAGAAACUGAGGUCCUACAUUUGAACUGGCUGCACUGAGCGUUGUGUGUCCAGGCGACAGAGUUGGAGCCCCAGUCCAGAGGCCCUGGGUAUCAUCCCAAAAGCCUGUGCUACGUAUCUGUGGACAACUCCUUCUCCUCAUUUUCUUUCUAGGUAGGUCUUUAUUAAAUCAUAAAGUGAGCAUUCAUCAUCUUGACAGUGAACGAAUUAUAAGCUAAAGGUCUAUCUCUAAAACUUGGCUUCUGUUAAUUCCUCCCCAAGCUCCAUAGAACCAAAUGUCUGAGUUGAACCAUGCGCUCCUCCUCUAGUGGGUGUUUAUUCUGAUAUGCAGCUAUUUUUUUUUUUUUUCCGGCAUUUCUUUCUUUGGGCUUACAGGCAGUGCCAUCAACAUAGGUGUUACUUUUCAGGCUAUGUUUUACGUUCACUGAUAUGUCUGCCUUUGUGUCCAGAGUCUGGCUUGAAGCCAUCAUGAUGACGAAAAAAUAAAUGAGCCUCUAGCAAACAAUAUGUAGGCCUCUGUAGGUAUCUGAUGACUUCAUGUCUAUAGAGUGAACAGAAUGAAUCAAAAUUAAGAUCCCUUUUAAGGCCUACCCAGUAAUAUGACUUUGAUCAAAGUCAGGGUCCCACAAAAAGAGCAAAAUUGAUUUGCCAGUUUCAUUGAGGUUCUUUUGCUUUGCCCAAAUCAACUUACGGAGCUGGACUUGGGUGUCUGGAAUGGUGGGAUAAACAAAGAUUCCAGCUUUAGCUGUACUCACUUGGCCUAAAUUUUAAUCAUAAAUCCAUCACUUCAAUAUUUCAUACAAAUAAAAGCAAUUUCCAUUUUGAGUUUUCUCCCACUACCAAGGUCCUCAUAUAGCUCUUACCUCUCCAGCACCACAUUGUAGAAUUUCGAUAUUUGACCCAGAGGAAGCUGGGAAAGAGAAUAGAUAGAUCCUGUUGCCUACAGUCUUUAUUCAACUUGGAUUUGCUUUAGUGGGCAGUGUGAAUCAACACUCAGCUACAUUGCAUGCUACCCAAGAACAUCAUGACUCAAGAGUCACUGGCCAGAAGUCAUUGAACUCGGUUUCAACAACUCCAGAGUCGAGAAUUCAUGGUUUCCAUGUUUGCACCAGCUCUGAAUCAGGAAAUUCACAGAGUAAUACAAGAGUCAGACUCGUGGAGUUCCCAUGUGGCUCAGUGGGUUAAGAACCUGACUAGUAUCCAUGAGGAUGUGGGCUGGAUCCUGGCCUUUCUCAAUGGGUUAAAGGAUC
This is a non-coding RNA of Sus scrofa (pig), 1784 nucleotides long. Lineage: Eukaryota; Metazoa; Chordata; Mammalia; Artiodactyla; Suidae. The record is from RefSeq and is a predicted model, not a curated record.